UUUAUUGACAACUUCAAAUUUUUUAUAACUUUGAUAUUAUCAUCAUCGUCUAACCAGCAAUCAUAUCGGUAUCCAAAAGAAGUCAGGGACACAUACUUGAAGACCAAGCGUUGUUUUACAACAGUAACAGGUCGACUCACUAAGCGCAGGUAAACAUCCCCACAAACGACCCAACUCAAGGUAAGCUUUCUCCGCGCAAAAUGCAACGACGAUUUUAUUGGGCCAACAACAGUCACGAAACUGAUAAGCGACGCCAAUUGUCCCCCCUGAGUCACCACCCCCGACGAGUGUGUCUUAAAGAGAUAGUGGGAAGGGUUAAUGGUUCUUAAAAGGAAGAAAAUAAAAUACCUCAGCACUUGAUUCAUUCAAUCGUUGGUAUCCCGCGAGCUUAAACCAUUCGUGGAAUUGUUCCUAAUUUAGUCGCAAAAUGUUACACAAAUUGUGUUGUGGAAGCAAAAGUUACAGCAUGGAGUCCGGAUCAGUUGGCAGGGAUAGUGUCGCUCAGGAAUCGAGUACCGGAUCAGUCUCCACCGUAACAGUUCAACCUGGAUUCAAAAAUAUUAACACGGAAAGUGCACCAACGAGUACAGAAAAUGGAAGUUAAUUUGCAUAAUUUUUAAGUGAAAAUAUAAACAAUCGAAUCUUUAUUGCU
Molecule: long non-coding RNA, 652 nt
Organism: Culex pipiens pallens (northern house mosquito)
Lineage: Eukaryota; Metazoa; Arthropoda; Insecta; Diptera; Culicidae
Exons: 2
Source: RefSeq, a predicted model, not a curated record